AGCCAUCCUCAUACAAGAUAACCAUCCCCAGGAAGAUAAGGAUGGGAUUUUGUAAUUUGGCCCUAUAAAAGCCAGCGAAGGGCUAGAACUGAGAGAGAAACGGAUGACAUACCAGAGAAACAAAAACCAGAGGAGAGGAGAAAGACCAGAGAAAGACAACGAAAACAGAAACAGAGAGGAAGGUUGGAGUAUUCUCCAAUUCAACCAGAGAGGAAGGGAGGAGUAUGCUCCAAUUCAACCAGCGAUACAGGCGCCAUCAAGCUUCGUCUCCAGCAACAGUACCAGGUAAGCUCUUCUUCCCCCGUUUGCAUUUUAAUUAACUUGUCACUGUGAAAGUAUGCGUGUAUUAUAAUUCACGCAUGCAGACCGUUGCCAGCUUGGUCACUGGGCUGUGCAGCCGGGUGGGCUGGAUCACGCCCAGCCUGUCUAUAUAUAAAAAAACAGAGAGAGAAUUGUUGAGAUAGCCUGGGUCUCAGGCCCAACCGACCCACUCUUUGGGAUAAGGGUAUGUUUAGUAAAAACAUCUUUAUAUCUUUUUUUUUUAUUUUUUUUAUUUUAAUAUCUAACCAAACAUGCUUUUUAAGAUAUCAGAAAAUUUUAAAAAAAUUUGGGGACCCCUUUGAAUUUAUUUGUGAGUCCCUCGUAUAUUUUUUGAUGACUUCACUUAUUAUUGGGUUGUAGAAUUAUACAGCAAAAAGCGAAUCUGGUAUAAAAUUAUAUCUGUCUUUUCCGUUUUUUUCUUUUCUCUUUUUUUAAAAAAGAAGAAAAUCUCCCUCAUUGCAAAAAUAAUAAUUGAAAAAAGUAUGUUUUUCUUUUAAUUCAAAAUUUUACUUGUUUAUUCACUAGCGUCAGAGUCAUGAAUAUUCGUAUUCACUAAUGUCAAAAUUAGGAAUAUCAUCAAUGUUCACUAAUGCCAUAAUUAAAAAUCAAAACACUAGAAUUGAAAAUUAUUCUGAACCCCAAUAUUCACUAGCGCCCAAGUUAAGAAUACCUUACUCUUUUACAUAAUAUUUACUAACACCAGGGUUAGAAAUAUUUGUAGUUGAAUAUUCAAAUGACACCAGAGUCAGGAUGUAAAACCCCGAGAACUAAUUUAUACAAAAAAAAUCAAUUAAUUAAAAAUAUUAUGAAAGACAAAAGAAGUAUGACUCAAAUUGUGAAAAAGAAAAAGAAAUGGGGUCAAGGUGUAAUUAAAAAGAAUGGGGUUAUAAAUACCACAUUUCUUUCUCAUUGAAGCCAGAGGCGUGAACACCAAAAGAGGGGAGAAAUUCCAGAUUUUUCCAUAAAACAUUUGAGAGAGAAACACCAAAGUUUGUCAAAAUUUUACAUGUCUUAGAUAGGUUUGUAGGGAAAACACCAUUUGGCAAGAGAAAUUGUACGAAAACAAGUGUAGAAAUUGUGAGGAGAAAAGGGGAGAGGGCUGGCUGCAUGCAAGGAGGGAGGGGUUGAAAUUUUUCAACCAAUUAAGAAGUGAAAUUCAGAUUAUCCCCAAGUAAGGAGUCCUAAACUCGAUUAUUCGAAUUAUCUUGAAUUCGAUUAGAAAUUGUGUAGGUAUCCUGAAUUAAAAUUACGGUUCUUGAAUAAAAUUUGGGGGAAAUGUAAAAUUGUCUGGAUUUGGAACAAUUAGAAUAUUGUAGGUUUCUUUGGAUGUAAAUUUAUGUAAGAACAACAAAGAAAAGCCAAUGGGUAAAGGAUCCAAGGUGGCCAGCCACUAGAGGAGCAAGUGAGAGGGGUAGAAUUUAUGAUUUUCUUUAUUAAUUGCUUAUGUUGUGUUGUUGUAAUGUGAAUAAUAGCUAGAAAGGAUAAUUAUCAUAGAUGAAGGAGAAGGGAACCCUAGGUUCCCUUGGGCUAAGUUUCGGCCAAGACAAGAUUAAAAAAGGGGAGGGGGAGUUUUGAGAUUUCAUAUGAUAAUGAUGAGUGAAUUAGGUGUAGCGGAAAGUUUACUAAUAAGGGAAACAAGAUAACUUGAUGAUAAGGGAACUUCGUAAAUUGAUUUCAUGGGUUAUGUGGGGUAGAAAGGAGUUUAUGGGCCAUAUGUAUGGCCUGUGGCUUGUCUUAGGAGGAGUUGCGAAAUGUAGGAAAAUCAUAGAAGUAAUAAUGUGAAUGUUUCUUGAAAUAGUUCUUGACCACCUUACAUCAAAAGGGAAAAUUAGCAUAAACGACCUUCGGAGGUCAUAUUUAUAAGGGUUGCCAUACAUGUGACGUGGAAAUAGUUGUCUCGAGAGAGGAAAGGGAAUGGAGAUAAUUAGAGAUUCAUUUAAACCUUUGAUGAAAACUAGACAGCUUUGUUGCCUUAAUUCCAAAGAGGAUUCGGGCCCAAAAAUGACAAAAUUCAGGGAAGGAUUCUCAUAGAAGUUAUAGCCAGGGAUGUUAGCUUUCCAAUGAGUCUAACUUCGCUUAAUUUGGAGCUUUAGAACUCUAGAUAUAGAUAAAUAUCUGAGGAGAGGUCAAGCUGCCACCUCUGCUGACAGAUUCGGCAAAUUGGCAAAACAGGAAAAUUUAGUUAUGUUAGGGGCAGAAUAUGGUUUCCUUUCCUGGAAAAAUAUUUAGCGUCAUGUCUUGAUGUUUAAAAGAAAAUAAGCCAUGUUUGGAAUUGAAUUUGUGAUGUUAGUUAUGAAUUGAUAAUGAAGCAUAAUUUUAAGAGAUGUAAUGGAAACACAAAUGUAAGGAAGCAGUUGUAAAAGGGGGAAUAAACGUUGUUGUUAUUAUUAUUGUUAUUUUACGAAAUGUGACUUGAGUAAGAAAUAAUAUAGUAUGUUUAUGGAUUCAGGAGGAAUCGUAGGAGGGGC
RNAcentral lists this long non-coding RNA (2789 nucleotides) under Populus trichocarpa (black cottonwood). RNAcentral's name for it is "long non-coding RNA (PTRI_LNC003786)". The record is from RNAcentral. Lineage: Eukaryota; Viridiplantae; Streptophyta; Magnoliopsida; Malpighiales; Salicaceae.